Long non-coding RNA from Humulus lupulus (European hop), 949 nucleotides. RefSeq lists it as uncharacterized. The transcript is spliced from 3 exons. The record is from RefSeq and is a predicted model, not a curated record. Lineage: Eukaryota; Viridiplantae; Streptophyta; Magnoliopsida; Rosales; Cannabaceae.
UAAUUCUUCUUUUCUCUUCCCCUUACUUGAUACCUUUUUCUCUAUCCCUUUCUUCUUAUUCUUCUUCCAACCUCAUGACUGCAAUCACCCUAAAAAAUCGGCACCGGCAACUCCCACGCACACCAGCAGCCCUUUCAUCUUCGACGGUGGAACCCAACGCCGGAGCUCCACCUCACCACGCGUCCUCCCCCAAAAUGAAUAACACUUCAGAAGCUCCACCACAUCUUGGUUGUCCAACAUUUUCCUUCACCGUUAAAGCUUCCCUCUGGCCAAGAACGGUACAAUCACGAUCCUCACUUCAAGAGCUAUGUUUCACCCAACUUGACACCUCAGAGUCUUGACGGAGAGUGUGGUAGAUCUAGCCUUGUCGGAAGUUCUGCAAGUUGUGAUUUUUGAGUCAUUUUCUGCCCAAAUUAUUCUCUGGCCAUGUUCGAAAGAUUGGAGAGCACCUCAAGAGCUUGCCAUUGGUGGGUGUAGUUCACAUCACCGCCGUGGGUCGCCGCAAACCGCAACCAUCAUCGAUGUCUAUACAAUUACGGUGUAGCGUGGAUUCAUUUGAGGAGAAAUAUGAAGUAAACGUUGCUCUUAAAGAAUUUCCUAGCUAAUUGGAAUAUUACGGUUGCAAUAUACGAGGAGAUUAACAGAGUGAGUUAGGACACCCUCCAGCGGGUUAGGAUGCUAACUGGAAAUUUGAAGAGAACUUUUAUAUUGACUUAGGCCUAAGAUUUUAGUUAUCAUUUCUCUUAAUGUGAAGGAUGUUGAAAUUUGAAUUUGGAACUUAAAGGCAUUUUAUUAAUUUAUGCAAACUUUUGAGAUUAUUGACAAUGAUGCAUGGAUGACACUCUUUAGGAUUUUAUUUUGUUUACUUAUAUCUAAAUCAAUGUUUAAUAUGUGGUCACAUAAAUGUGGGGAUUUAGUAUGAACUCAAUAUAUGUUUGAUUACGUUUAA